GCUGAGCUUGGCCGCUUUGCCUGGGCACCCCAUCCCCAGAAGGACCUCGUGCGGGGUGAUGCUGGAACCAGCUCUAGGAGCUGGGCACCACUGGGAGCCCAAACCCUACAGCCCGAGCCAGUCCUUGGCCAGCAGCAACGCGUCCUCGCUGUCCCCACGGUCCCCGUGCCAGGGGCUCACCAGGGCCGGGCAGCGGUGUCGGAAGAGAGCUGUCCCCGGGCAGGACUUCUGUCACAUCCACGCUGAUGGGUCCCCACGCCUGUGACCCCUGUCCCCUCCCCGAGGGGGGGUUUUAACCCACUUUUGGCUCUUCCUGAUGCAGGUGGAGAACACAAAGCUGUGCUCAGCACCCUGUGGGUGCCCUCGGGUGGGUAUGGGACUACCGGGCUCGCCCUGGCUCCCACUUGAGCCCAGCGGGGCGGAUACUCCUUGUCCCACCAGUUUUAUGCUAUUUGCACAUAUUUUAAUAAAUGCUAGCUUUAUUUAUA
Long non-coding RNA from Oxyura jamaicensis (ruddy duck), 488 nucleotides. RefSeq lists it as uncharacterized. NCBI's taxonomy places the organism in Eukaryota, Metazoa, Chordata, Aves, Anseriformes, Anatidae. The record is from RefSeq and is a predicted model, not a curated record. The transcript has 3 exons.